This 1439-nucleotide ribosomal RNA is filed under the name uncultured organism. RNAcentral describes it as "16S ribosomal RNA". It matches the Rfam family "Bacterial small subunit ribosomal RNA". The record is from RNAcentral.
GAUGAACGCUAGCUACAGGCUUAACACACGCAAGUCGAGGGGCAUCAGGAAGAAAGCUUGCUUUCUUUGCUGGCGACCGGCGCACGGGUGAGUAACACGUAUCCAACCUGCCCUUUACUCGGGGAUAGCCUUUCGAAAGAAAGAUUAAUACCCGAUAGCAUAAUGAUUCCGCAUGGUUUCAUUAUUAAAGGAUUCCGGUAAAGGAUGGGGAUGCGUUCCAUUAGGUUGUUGGUGAGGUAACGGCCCACCAAGCCUUCGAUGGAUAGGGGUUCUGAGAGGAAGGUCCCCCACAUUGGAACUGAGACACGGUCCAAACUCCUACGGGAGGCAGCAGUGAGGAAUAUUGGUCAAUGGGCGCUAGCCUGAACCAGCCAAGUAGCGUGAAGGAUGAAGGCUCUAUGGGUCGUAAACUUCUUUUAUAUAAGAAUAAAGUGCAGUAUGUAUACUGUUUUGUAUGUAUUAUAUGAAUAAGGAUCGGCUAACUCCGUGCCAGCAGCCGCGGUAAUACGGAGGAUCCGAGCGUUAUCCGGAUUUAUUGGGUUUAAAGGGAGCGUAGGUGGACUGGUAAGUCAGUUGUGAAAGUUUGCGGCUCAACCGUAAAAUUGCAGUUGAUACUGUCAGUCUUGAGUACAGUAGAGGUGGGCGGAAUUCGUGGUGUAGCGGUGAAAUGCUUAGAUAUCACGAAGAACUCCGAUUGCGAAGGCAGCUCACUGGACUGCAACUGACACUGAUGCUCGAAAGUGUGGGUAUCAAACAGGAUUAGAUACCCUGGUAGUCCACACAGUAAACGAUGAAUACUCGCUGUUUGCGAUAUACAGUAAGCGGCCAAGCGAAAGCAUUAAGUAUUCCACCUGGGGAGUACGCCGGCAACGGUGAAACUCAAAGGAAUUGACGGGGGCCCGCACAAGCGGAGGAACAUGUGGUUUAAUUCGAUGAUACGCGAGGAACCUUACCCGGGCUUAAAUUGCAGUGGAAUGAUGUGGAAACAUGUCAGUGAGCAAUCACCGCUGUGAAGGUGCUGCAUGGUUGUCGUCAGCUCGUGCCGUGAGGUGUCGGCUUAAGUGCCAUAACGAGCGCAACCCUUAUCUUUAGUUACUAACAGGUUAUGCUGAGGACUCUAGAGAGACUGCCGUCGUAAGAUGCGAGGAGGGUGGGGAUGACGUCAAAUCAGCACGGCCCUUACGUCCGGGGCUACACACGUGUUACAAUGGGGGGUACAGAAGGCAGCUAGCGGGUGACCGUAUGCUAAUCCCAAAAUCCUCUCUCAGUUCGGAUCGAAGUCUGCAACCCGACUUCGUGAAGCUGGAUUCGCUAGUAAUCGCGCAUCAGCCACGGCGCGGUGAAUACGUUCCCGGGCCUUGUACACACCGCCCGUCAAGCCAUGGGAGCCGGGGGUACCUGAAGUACGUAACCGCAAGGAUCGUCCUAGGGUAAAACUG